This 754-nucleotide ribosomal RNA is filed under the name uncultured archaeon. RNAcentral describes it as "bacterial SSU rRNA". It matches the Rfam family "Archaeal small subunit ribosomal RNA", at positions 102 to 859 of the family's 1478-position model. The record is from RNAcentral.
AGUCAACAUGCCCAAAGGACGUGGAUAACCUCGGGAAACUGAGGAUAAACCACGAUAGGCCAAGGUUUCUGGAAUGAGCCAUGGCCGAAAUCUAUAUGGCCUUUGGAUUGGACUGCGGCCGAUCAGGCUGUUGGUGAGGUAAUGGCCCACCAAACCUGUAACCGGUACGGGCUUUGAGAGAAGGAGCCCGGAGAUGGGCACUGAGACAAGGGCCCAGGCCCUAUGGGGCGCAGCAGGCGCGAAACCUCUGCAAUAGGCGAAAGCUUGACAGGGUUACUCUGAGUGAUGCCCGCUAAGGGUAUCUUUUGGCACCUCUAAAAAUGGUGCAGAAUAAGGGGUGGGCAAGUCUGGUGUCAGCCGCCGCGGUAAUACCAGCACCCCGAGUUGUCGGGACGAUUAUUGGGCCUAAAGCAUCCGUAGCCUGUUCUGCAAGUCCUCCGUUAAAUCCACCUGCUCAACGGAUGGGCUGCGGAGGAUACCGCAGAGCUAGGAGGCGGGAGAGGCAAACGGUACUCAGUGGGUAGGGGUAAAAUCCAUUGAUCUACUGAAGACCACCAGUGGCGAAGGCGGUUUGCCAGAACGCGCUCGACGGUGAGGGAUGAAAGCUGGGGGAGCAAACCGGAUUAGAUACCCGGGUAGUCCCAGCUGUAAACGAUGCAGACUCGGUGAUGGGUUGGCUUCGAGCCAACCCAGUGCCGCAGGGAAGCCGUUAAGUCUGCCGCCUGGGGAGUACGGUCGCAAGACUGAAACUUAA